AUACGAAAUUUUAAAAAUGCUUUGAUUUUCAUUUUAUAUUUAGAUUAACAAAAAAGUAAAAUCAGUAAGAGACAGAAACGAAAAAAGGUCAGUUUUUUCAUUUUCUGAGACCGGAAGUGGUCAUCAGCAAGUGUGGAGCCAAACAGAGUACGGUGCAUAGACUGGAUUUUUUUUUUUUUUCGUUAGUUUUCAUGGUCAAAAUUAGAGAUCAGGUGGCCGAUCUUAAAAUAAAUCAAUAUUGAUUUUUUUAUAGAGCGUUAAAGUUUUGCGAAGCCAGGGGGCGGGGCUACUUGAUUGACAGUCUGGUCUGGAAUGGUUGACAGGUCCGACGGAGGAGGCAGCAGAGACUCUGCUCUCCUCGUUUGUAUUAAUUCUGAUAUAAUAACUGUUGGUUUAUUUAUCGGUGCAGCAGCAGAACAUUUUCCACAGACAGUUUUCCUGCCCGUUGGCUUGUUUUAACCAGUUUUCUGCCUCCAGUUGAUUCUACCAGCAGACACUGAAAGGACUCUGAUAGUUCGGUGUCUCAUGUUCACUGUGAGGAUCUUCUGAGUGAAGCGACCAGCAGAAAAAACCUCAUCUGGAUGUGAAGGAGACUGAAUGGACGACAUCCUCAGUGAACCACUUCCUGUUUAGCUUUCACUUACAGAAGUUCUUCUGGACCAGCUCAGCUUCCCCUCAGAAGAAGUGGCGCCACCUGCCAGAUGAAGGAGCCUUUUGAGAGGCAGCUGGCAUCGUGAUUGGACUGUACUUUGGUCUGUUCCAAUCCAGCUUCAGCUCCAGAGACGGCAGGCGGGACGAGUCAACGGAGGCCUGGUGGACGAAGGCAUGCAGCUGAGUACAAUCCAGAAAGAGAC
Molecule: long non-coding RNA, 854 nt
Organism: Amphiprion ocellaris (clown anemonefish)
Lineage: Eukaryota; Metazoa; Chordata; Actinopteri; Pomacentridae
Source: Ensembl